UGAGCAGCCCGAGCAGUUGCGGAGCGCUUUGCGCGAUGAGGAAAGUCCGAGCAUCACACAGCAGGGUAACGGCUAACGGCCGCCGAGGGUGACCUCCGGGACAGUGCAUAGAAAUAUACCGCCGCUUUUGCGGUAAGGGUGGAAUGGCGAGGUAAGAGCUCACCGGAAUGUCGGUAACGGCAUUGCCAGGCAAACCCUACCCGAUGCAACAUCGACAGAAGUUGUCAGCUGGGCAAAUACUUCGAAGGAUGGCUUGAGCGUGCCGGCAACGGUACGCCUAGACAGAUAACUGCUUUAAACGACAGAACUCGGCUUACAAGGCUGCUCACUCU
Non-coding RNA from Eubacterium sp. CAG:180, 332 nucleotides. It matches the Rfam family "Bacterial RNase P class A". From Rfam's summary of the family: Ribonuclease P (RNase P) is a ubiquitous endoribonuclease, found in archaea, bacteria and eukarya as well as chloroplasts and mitochondria. Its best characterised activity is the generation of mature 5'-ends of tRNAs by cleaving the 5'-leader elements of precursor-tRNAs. NCBI's taxonomy places the organism in Bacteria, Bacillati, Bacillota, Clostridia, Eubacteriales, Eubacteriaceae. The record is from Rfam.